Molecule: long non-coding RNA, 927 nt
Organism: Zingiber officinale
Lineage: Eukaryota; Viridiplantae; Streptophyta; Magnoliopsida; Zingiberales; Zingiberaceae
Exons: 4
Source: RefSeq, a predicted model, not a curated record
AAAUCGCCGAUUUCCGACCUUUCUCUUUGCCCCAACACGAAUACCCUUUCUUCUCUAGCGAUUCUUUCUGUCCGAUCGCCGGCCGCCGUGAGUUCACCGCCGAUGGAGGUCUUCUCCACCACCGUCCCUCACCUCCGCCACUCGAUCUUCUCCACAAAUUUGUCGAUCCUUUCUCCCUCAUCGUCGUGCCCUAGAUUUGCCGAUGCGGAGUCUCGCGCGACCUCCAUCUUCCCCGAUCCAUCUCCACUGCCGACGCCGCUUGAUGUCGUGCUGCCUACGGACACCGCCCGAUCGCAUCAGCGUUGUCGUCGCCUGCGUAGGAAGAUCUUCGACAGGGGGAAACCGAGCCCUAGCAUCGAACUUCGCUCGCGAUCAACCCACUGCCGGACAAGCCUUCUUCGCUGAUCCUAUCUUUUGUCGAUCCCCUCCCGAGCCUUGCCUCCUCCACAGACCAGACCCACCUCUAGAUUUUUGUUGCAUCGCCGAACAACAGAUUCUAGCCGAGAAGGUAUGGUUGCAUCCUUACCUUUUUCCUCCUCUCUGUUCUGUUCGACUGCCACCACCAGGGGUGAUCAAUCUAGGUAAGUUCGUUUGGAAUCUUGAAGAUUCAUUGAUGAUGGUCUAAUUAGUUUCCUUUGUGAUGUUCUUCCUAAUGCUGGAUUCGUGGGAGGCAUUGGAACAGCUCCUUGAUGGAUUUCCUCUGGGCAGAUUACUGCCCUCUGCAUUCUUGUGGCCGAGUAAGGUUUUGGUUGAAGAUUUGAGGUACUAUUGAGCUUUGGUCAGUUUGGUGAUCCACAGUUUGGCAUUCCAGUCUCGGCAGUGAACCCCUUUGAUCUUGUUGACCGGUGGGUAUCUUGGGACUUUGGUUGAGACGAACGUCUCAACGCAAGUUGGUUUAUUUGACACGGUCGACAGAUAAAGGCGGGU